CUACACGGGUUUCUAAUCCCGUUUGCUCCCCUGGCUUUCGUGUCUCAGCGUCAGCACACCCCCAGCGAGCUGUUUUCACCAUUGGCGUUCCAAAUGAUAUCUACGCAUUUCACCGCUCCACCAUUUGUUCCGCUCGCCCCUAGGUGGCUCAAGACCUCCAGUAUACCAAGCAGUUCCACGGUUGAGCCGUGGGAUUUCACAAGGUACUUAGAGAUCCGCCUACACACGCUUUAAGCCCAGUGAUUCCGCCUAACGCUCGGCACCUCUGUCUUACCGCGGCUGCUGGCAC
RNAcentral lists this ribosomal RNA (289 nucleotides) under uncultured bacterium. Its description in RNAcentral is "partial 16S ribosomal RNA". The record is from RNAcentral.